GCGAGCGUGAUGGAAUGGUAGACAUGCAGGUCUUAGAUGCCUGUGCUUAACCGCGUGGGGGUUCGAGUCCCCCCGCUCGCA
RNAcentral lists this transfer RNA (81 nucleotides) under Myxococcota bacterium. RNAcentral's name for it is "tRNA-Leu". It matches the Rfam family "tRNA". From Rfam's summary of the family: Transfer RNA (tRNA) molecules are approximately 80 nucleotides in length. Their secondary structure includes four short double-helical elements and three loops (D, anti-codon, and T loops). Further hydrogen bonds mediate the characteristic L-shaped molecular structure. tRNAs have two regions of fundamental functional importance: the anti-codon, which is responsible for specific mRNA codon recognition, and the 3' end, to which the tRNAs corresponding amino acid is attached (by aminoacyl-tRNA synthetases). tRNAs cope with the degeneracy of the genetic code in two manners: having more than one tRNA (with a specific anti-codon) for a particular amino acid; and 'wobble' base-pairing, i.e. permitting non-standard base-pairing at the 3rd anti-codon position. The record is from RNAcentral. Lineage: Bacteria; Pseudomonadati; Myxococcota.